RNAcentral lists this ribosomal RNA (2101 nucleotides) under Escherichia coli. RNAcentral describes it as "partial 23S ribosomal RNA". It matches the Rfam family "Bacterial large subunit ribosomal RNA", at positions 717 to 2798 of the family's 2925-position model. Lineage: Bacteria; Pseudomonadati; Pseudomonadota; Gammaproteobacteria; Enterobacterales; Enterobacteriaceae. The record is from RNAcentral.
GAAACCCGGUGAUCUAGCCAUGGGCAGGUUGAAGGUUGGGUAACACUAACUGGAGGACCGAACCGACUAAUGUUGAAAAAUUAGCGGAUGACUUGUGGCUGGGGGUGAAAGGCCAAUCAAACCGGGAGAUAGCUGGUUCUCCCCGAAAGCUAUUUAGGUAGCGCCUCGUGAAUUCAUCUCCGGGGGUAGAGCACUGUUUCGGCAAGGGGGUCAUCCCGACUUACCAACCCGAUGCAAACUGCGAAUACCGGAGAAUGUUAUCACGGGAGACACACGGCGGGUGCUAACGUCCGUCGUGAAGAGGGAAACAACCCAGACCGCCAGCUAAGGUCCCAAAGUCAUGGUUAAGUGGGAAACGAUGUGGGAAGGCCCAGACAGCCAGGAUGUUGGCUUAGAAGCAGCCAUCAUUUAAAGAAAGCGUAAUAGCUCACUGGUCGAGUCGGCCUGCGCGGAAGAUGUAACGGGGCUAAACCAUGCACCGAAGCUGCGGCAGCGACGCUUAUGCGUUGUUGGGUAGGGGAGCGUUCUGUAAGCCUGUGAAGGUGGCCUGUGAGGGUUGCUGGAGGUAUCAGAAGUGCGAAUGCUGACAUAAGUAACGAUAAAGCGGGUGAAAAGCCCGCUCGCCGGAAGACCAAGGGUUCCUGUCCAACGUUAAUCGGGGCAGGGUGAGUCGACCCCUAAGGCGAGGCCGAAAGGCGUAGUCGAUGGGAAACAGGUUAAUAUUCCUGUACUUGGUGUUACUGCGAAGGGGGGACGGAGAAGGCUAUGUUGGCCGGGCGACGGUUGUCCCGGUUUAAGCGUGUAGGCUGGUUUUCCAGGCAAAUCCGGAAAACCAAGGCUGAGGCGUGAUGACGAGGCACUACGGUGCUGAAGUGACAAAUGCCCUGCUUCCAGGAAAAGCCUCUAAGCAUCAGGUAACAUCAAAUCGUACCCCAAACCGACACAGGUGGUCAGGUAGAGAAUACCAAGGCGCUUGAGAGAACUCGGGUGAAGGAACUAGGCAAAAUGGUGCCGUAACUUCGGGAGAAGGCACGCUGAUAUGUAGGUGAAGCGACUUGCUCGUGGAGCUGAAAUCAGUCGAAGAUACCAGCUGGCUGCAACUGUUUAUUAAAAACACAGCACUGUGCAAACACGAAAGUGGACGUAUACGGUGUGACGCCUGCCCGGUGCCGGAAGGUUAAUUGAUGGGGUUAGCGGUAACGCGAAGCUCUUGAUCGAAGCCCCGGUAAACGGCGGCCGUAACUAUAACGGUCCUAAGGUAGCGAAAUUCCUUGUCGGGUAAGUUCCGACCUGCACGAAUGGCGUAAUGAUGGCCAGGCUGUCUCCACCCGAGACUCAGUGAAAUUGAACUCGCUGUGAAGAUGCAGUGUACCCGCGGCAAGACGGAAAGACCCCGUGAACCUUUACUAUAGCUUGACACUGAACAUUGAGCCUUGAUGUGUAGGAUAGGUGGGAGGCUUUGAAGUGUGGACGCCAGUCUGCAUGGAGCCGACCUUGAAAUACCACCCUUUAAUGUUUGAUGUUCUAACGUGGGCCCGUAAUCCGGGUUGCGGACAGUGUCUGGUGGGUAGUUUGACUGGGGCGGUCUCCUCCUAAAGAGUAACGGAGGAGCACGAAGGUUGGCUAAUCCUGGUCGGACAUCAGGAGGUUAGUGCAAUGGCAUAAGCCAGCUUGACUGCGAGCGUGACGGCGCGAGCAGGUGCGAAAGCAGGUCAUAGUGAUCCGGUGGUUCUGAAUGGAAGGGCCAUCGCUCAACGGAUAAAAGGUACUCCGGGGAUAACAGGCUGAUACCGCCCAAGAGUUCAUAUCGACGGCGGUGUUUGGCACCUCGAUGUCGGCUCAUCACAUCCUGGGGCUGAAGUAGGUCCCAAGGGUAUGGCUGUUCGCCAUUUAAAGUGGUACGCGAGCUGGGUUUAGAACGUCGUGAGACAGUUCGGUCCCUAUCUGCCGUGGGCGCUGGAGAACUGAGGGGGGCUGCUCCUAGUACGAGAGGACCGGAGUGGACGCAUCACUGGUGUUCGGGUUGUCAUGCCAAUGGCACUGCCCGGUAGCUAAAUGCGGAAGAGAUAAGUGCUGAAAGCAUCUAAGCACGAAACUUGCC